CCAUGGCUCCCCAGACUUUUCCACCAUGUUCGUCCCGCAUUAGAGCUCCAAUACUUUUGGUGUUGCCAUAUAUCGAUAGUUGCUGCACCACCACACAAGCCACAUUGAUCUUGAUUGUUUCUUUUUCUGGAAACUCCCAUAGGUGUUCCAUCAGAAAGAGAUUAGAAAUGUAGUAGUAAAAUAAACAGGAGUAGAGAUGAGAGAGGUGAUGCAGAGGAGAAAACAAAGACGGGUAUGACAGCAUAUAUAGAGAGGUGCAACCAACGGCAUGCUCCACUGUAUAUUGAUGGAAAUUCUGAAAGACAGCAGUGGAAAACUGAGAAACGUGGGAGGAAGCUUUACCCAGCGGAUAAAACUUAUAGAAACCCAAACCGAAGGCUAGGAGAAAGGCUAUUCUAGGGACUAGUUGAAUUUAAAAUUUUGCCCGGGAA
Molecule: long non-coding RNA, 431 nt
Filed under: Daucus carota (carrot)
Lineage: Eukaryota; Viridiplantae; Streptophyta; Magnoliopsida; Apiales; Apiaceae
Description: long non-coding RNA (DCAR_LNC001085)
Source: RNAcentral